Molecule: non-coding RNA, 510 nt
Organism: Cinara cedri
Lineage: Eukaryota; Metazoa; Arthropoda; Insecta; Hemiptera; Aphididae
Source: the annotation of a GenBank genome assembly
UUUUUAUUUCACAAAUCUUUAAUUCCAAGUAAUAUUUUCUAAUUUAAGAAAUUCAUAAAGCAAUCAACAGAACAAGAUAUAAUGGGAUAUGAUAGUGUAAUAGCCACAAUUUAUUUUUAUUUUUAAAUCGGAUUUCUAUAUAAAUUUUUAGUAACUUUUUCAGAAAAUGUUAACAUUUCAGUUUAUGGUAGCUAUAGUCUAUAAUUAUUUCCUACUAAGCUUUAAGCUUUUUUAAAAAAAUGUGUAGAAUGUAUCUAUUUAUCUCAUUCAGAGGUUUCCAACCAAACCUAUUCUGUUUCGUUCUAAUCAGUCAAGCUAUAUAUUCGUUUAAAUUAAAUGCUGUAGUAAGUCUUCCUUAUAGCUUCUUCGUAUUACGACUCUUAACCGUAUAACUAAUUUUAUCUCCUUUUUGGUUUUCCUUUUCUUAUCAUUUUGGAUCCACGUUCAUAACAUCAGGCAAAAAUAUUAUUACCUCAGUCUUUACCUUUUUUCACUGUAGAAUGUUCUCUC